AAAUUGAAGAGUUUGAUCAUGGCUCAGAUUGAACGCUGGCGGCAGGCCUAACACAUGCAAGUCGAGCGGAAACGAGUUGUCUGAACCUUCGGGGGACGAUAACGGCGUCGAGCGGCGGACGGGUGAGUAAUGCCUAGGAAAUUGCCCUGAUGUGGGGGAUAACCAUUGGAAACGAUGGCUAAUACCGCAUGAUGCCUACGGGCCAAAGAGGGGGACCUUCGGGCCUCUCGCGUCAGGAUAUGCCUAGGUGGGAUUAGCUAGUUGGUGAGGUAAGGGCUCACCAAGGCGACGAUCCCUAGCUGGUCUGAGAGGAUGAUCAGCCACACUGGAACUGAGACACGGUCCAGACUCCUACGGGAGGCAGCAGUGGGGAAUAUUGCACAAUGGGCGCAAGCCUGAUGCAGCCAUGCCGCGUGUGUGAAGAAGGCCUUCGGGUUGUAAAGCACUUUCAGUCGUGAGGAAGGCGGUGUAGUUAA
This 476-nucleotide ribosomal RNA is filed under the name Vibrio parahaemolyticus. Its description in RNAcentral is "bacterial SSU rRNA". It matches the Rfam family "Bacterial small subunit ribosomal RNA", at positions 1 to 463 of the family's 1533-position model. The record is from RNAcentral. Lineage: Bacteria; Pseudomonadati; Pseudomonadota; Gammaproteobacteria; Vibrionales; Vibrionaceae.